CUUGUGAUUGAAAACACAAAGCUUAGAAAGGUGCAUUCUCUUGCUUCUCUGCCUGCCCGGAUAUCAAUGAACAUCAGCUAAAGGUGGCUGAAGAACCAAUUUCAUGCAUCUACUGUACGAGGAAAUGAACUGAGCCAAGGGCAAAAAUAAAAUUAUACAAAUGUUAUUAUAGACUAGCCUGCUUCUGUCCUAGUUUAAUUCAAAUUUUAGUGCUGCAGGCUUUGCUUCUGGCAGUAGCCUUCCUGAAUAAAUCAACAUUUGCUUACAUCUAAAUUAUUAGGGAAGCAUGUGACUUUGUUUAUUGUAUAAAUUAUACGCAAGGUUAAAGCAUUAACUGUUGAACUGGCUUUGUUCAGUCACCUCCCCAACUCUCCCCCAAAUCAUCUCUCCCCUAAAUAGGAAAUUAAAAUCUGAAACUACUAAUUGCUUUUAGACAAACCAAAUAACAAAGCUGCAUUAUGAACCUGAGGUUACAGAUGGAGAGCACUGUUAAAGGUGUGGCAGGAGACAGUCUUGGUGUUGAGGAAAAAGAAAGGCACUCUGGCCCAAGAAAUUGUUCACCUGAGCUCUGAUGGGGUGUCUGCACAAAGGAAAAUGGUGAUCUGGUAAAUAAUCGGUUAAGUUGAUUAAGGCAGCCAACCAAAUGGGAUAAUUUAAUACAAAACUAAAGAAAGCCUUUUGGCUAGGAUUUCAGUAAGCAAGGAAUUUCAAAUUAUAUUGCAAUGUUGGACCCAAACAUUUUUAUUGCCAUUAUCUGCUAGAAAGUUAGACAUAGGCUGGAAAACACACUUAGGAACAAUGAUUUGUUUUUUGUUUGUUUGUUUGUUUGUUUGUAUUGUUUUUCUCUCUGCACAUCACUGUGAAAUGACUCCUGAAAGACCAUCCAUACUUAUUUAGAAAAUAAGCCUGGGCUUUGAUAACUAGACAAUUUGACUUUCUAAGUGUUUAGACAAGCCAGGUAUCAGGUGUGUCCUGCUAUGAGAACAUCCAAUUUAAAUAAACAUCAAGGGUUCAGAGUAGACAAAUCAGAAGGUAAUUGUUUACUUUACAAAAGGUUCUUUUUAUAAGAUCAUCCGCAAUACGCUUGUUUUUGUUGACCUUUCCCACAGUAUAAUUUGCAAAAUUAUAAUUAAAUUCAAUCUUUUCCAAAAAUAUAUGUUUUUCUUUUUCUUUCUCAAGACUUUUUGUAGAAACUCUGCAGGUCAGAAGAUUUUUGUAUGGAAUGAUCUUCUCCAAUCAAUUAUUUGAAUCUAAGAGGAAGAGAAGAUCAUCAGUGGCAAAUGGCAGUCACAGGAAAGCAACACCCACAGCCGGUUUCACACGUGUGGAGAGCACCCUGAGCCUCCUCCUCCUGGUUUCCCGUGCUCUGCAAGUUCAGAGAAACUUCUCUCACAACCAACUAUAGAAACAAUCUUGGAACGUACAGUCUUAGAAAUGGCUUUUUAAUUGCAGCAUAUCAGAGUGAAAAAGGACCCAGAGAUGUUGGAAUCAGACAAUCCUGGUUUCAAAUCGGUUUCAUUGUUCAUCCUCAUGUGAUGUUUGGCAAGAAAUAAAACAUUUCUGCGU
Homo sapiens (human) is the source of this 1566-nucleotide long non-coding RNA. NCBI's taxonomy places the organism in Eukaryota, Metazoa, Chordata, Mammalia, Primates, Hominidae. The record is from Ensembl.